RNAcentral lists this small RNA (436 nucleotides) under Pan troglodytes (chimpanzee). RNAcentral describes it as "retained intron". Lineage: Eukaryota; Metazoa; Chordata; Mammalia; Primates; Hominidae. The record is from RNAcentral.
GUCUCUGUCCCUGUCUCUCUGGGUCUCUGUCUUCCUCUCUCUGGGUCUGUUUCCCCCUCUCUCUGGGUCUCUGUCCCCAUCUCUCUGGGUCUCUGUCCCUCUCUCUCUGGGUCUCUGUCCCCAUCUCUCUGGGUCUCUGUCCCCCUCCCUGUGUCCCCCGCUCCCAUGUGUCCACAGUUCCUCCGGCUCUCUGACCGAACGGAUCCAGCUACAGUUUAUAGUCUGGUCACACGCACAUGGGGCUUCCGUGCCCCGAACCUGGUGGUGUCAGUGCUGGGGGGAUCGGGGGGCCCCGUCCUCCAGACCUGGCUGCAGGACCUGCUGCGUCGUGGGCUGGUGCGGGCUGCCCAGAGCACAGGAGCCUGGAUUGUCACUGGGGGUCUGCACACGGGCAUCGGCCGGCAUGUUGGUGUGGCUGUACGGGACCAUCAGAUGG